UAUAUAUAUAUAUAUAUAUAUAUAUUUCUGUCGGGGUCAGAUAAGCUUGAUGAAGUGUGAGCUGCGGCGCGGUGCUGCAGCUCUGCACGGAUAGGAUUUUCCUAAAUGAUGACACUCUUUAACAUGGAGACUAAUAGAUACUUUAUGUCGUCGCGUCUUUUCGGUUAUUUUGUUGUUGUUUUUCCCCCGCAGUAGUGUAAAUUCAAAGCGCAAAGGGAAUGUGUAGACCCGCUGGAUUUAUUGCCACACUAUGGUGUAACAAAUAAACCUGCACGUUUUAUAGAGGACAAUUCAUACGAACGAUUAGGUUAGAUAUGGGAUAUAACAUAGAAUGAAUAAAUUAACUUAUAUUUAUCUGCUGUCGCGCAAGUCACUACAGGAUAUAUAUAUAUAUAUAUAUAUAUAUAUAUAUAUAUAUAUAUAUAUAUAUAUACACACACACACACACAGCGUUUUUACAUUAAUAAAGAAUUAGUUUUAAAACAGUUUUUACUGACAAAAGUAAGUGCUACAAAAUAAUAGUAAUAUUAAUAAUAAUAAUUUCCAGACAUGAUUCCCUCCGGAUCACAAAUUACCGCCUGUUCUAUUUCCCCUUUAAGAGCGCGAGCUCGGCAUAGGAGGCGGGGUCAAAACCCAGCGACUGCAUUCCAGCCAAUCAAAGCCGCCGACCUCUACAGCUAGGCGUCCGAUUACGAAAAGGGGGAAGGGGAGGUGCUUGGUGCACGUGAGAGACUGAGACGUGAGCGCGGUUUCUAUGGCAACCGUUCGUCUUGACCUCCAUGUCCCCCGUGCUCGUCAGGGAAGGCCGGUUUCCAUGGAAACGAUCGUAUCUCUGCGCGCGGCUCGCUUCCCGUAAAGUGAUCUGGUCGGAAAGCGGCCCGUUCUUCCAGAGUGUGUCGGAAAAUUAUAAAGAGGGCGAGAGAGAGAGAGGGAGAGAGAGAGAGAGAGAGAGAGAAGAUGGCGUUUGAGAUACAAGGCUAUUAAAAAGCUCACAUUAACCUCACAGACUGCUCUCGCGCGCUGUUGUGUGCGUAUUGAGGUGCAGGGCGUGUGUGAAAGCGCCUGAGGAACUGAGAGUGCGAGCUCUCCACCACAAAUACGCCCCAGACUGUGAAAAUGCUCAAUUUAUAUAUGUUACAUACUGUAAGUCCGGGGGAAAUGAACGAACCUUAUGUUUGUCCAUCAUUUAAAGGGACGCAGUAUAGUUUAAUAUUAAAUCACACUUUUUUGUUUUUAUACCAACAAAAAAAAAGAAACACACUUCCUCAAGACCGUACAAACUUAUUGAACUGAUUCUAGUUAUUUAUUUUGUGUGUGUGUGUGUGUGUGUGUGUGUGUGUGUGUGAAUGUUUUAAAUCUGCUUUGUUUUUACUAGGCUUGUUAUCAGGAAAACGUCAUUUUUGUCUUUAGCCCCGCCCCUUUCCUACCACAUAAAGUGUCAUAUCCACAUCUGCUUAAAAUCCUCUUUCAAAUUUUAGUGUUCUGCAGAUGUGCAAAUGUUUUUUCAAUCGCAGGAACUUUGGUCUGAUUUUUCUUUCAGCUCGAUAACACAACAGUCUGUCUUCCUUUUAUUUUGCUUUUGUAUUGUUAUGCUCUUCAGCCCACAUGUUCGCAGCAGCCACACUCGCUGAGGAGGAGCACUGCAUAUGCUCAGGAUCUGAAUAUGGGCUAUAUAAUCUGUUUAUGAGGCUGAAGGAAUAAAACACCCUGUAACAGGGUGUGCUGUUACAGGAAAGUAAUCAACUACAGUAAUGUGAUGUGAAGAGUCAGGGCCAGUACCAUCCCUAAGUGAAUUAUUUUCCAAUAACGUAAAUAUGACAGAAAAAAUGCAGUUCUGUUACUGAGAAACUGGAAAGACUCGUGGCGGGAAACGUACUGGCUGUUACAACUCGCUGACACCUGAGACUCCUUCCAGAAACGUUAAAUAAAUGUCCCCUUACAGAAAGUUUCACCCUAUCAGUGAUGACAUGUUUUUAUUAGAUAACAACAAACAUAUGUUUAUGAUUAGUUAGAUUAUGAGCAGUGUCCAAUGUACAAGCAGUGUAGAAACAGUAAUAUAUUAGAACAUGAUCGUUAUUGUCAGAGCUGCUGUUAUAGAAAACGAAUCAACACUUUCUGACCAAUCAGAAUAGGGAAUUCAACAGUGCUGUGGUAUAAGCAUCUUUAAUAUGUUGGCCUCCAUCUCUUUUCAUGUUAACUGAGGAAACAUGGAGGCGCGAGGACGUUGUUCUGUUCUCUUACUGAUUUGAAAAAGCAACAUUAAACAUUUUUCACCAGGAUGCUAGUGUGAGAGGCUUACGUCCAGGGACAUUAUUUCUAAUCUCAUAUUUGAGGUUUAGAAUAACAACGGACGUAGCGUUGUUAGCUAGUGCAUAACAUCACUCGCUGUCUCCCUCUCUGUUUUGCUUCCUCUGCUCUCUCUUCAGUUUCCUUCUAGGAGCUUUAUCUGGGAUCUCGACUUCCUGUGACCUGUCGAGACUCAUCUGCAUACCAUGGGCUCUGCGUCUGUCGGUGCGCGUGCGUGCGUGCGUGCGUGCGUGUGUGUGUGUGUGUGUGUGUGUGUGUUGGGGGGGGGGGGGGGGGGGUGUAAUUGGUAGAGAUGCGGAGAAUGGAAGAAAGGGGGAGCUGUAUCUCUCUCUCGCAAACACACACACACAUACACACACACGCAGACAGCAGAGCUUUAUGUUUCAAGCCUAGCCAAAUUUUCUUAGCACACAUUUUUUUUUAAAUUACGGCGUUAUUUUGGGUAGGUUUAUAUACUAGAUCUCCAUUUCUCAUUCGUCAGUAUGCUAUAUAAAAUAUAUUCCCUUUAAAUGAAAUUAAGAAUCACAAUUAAAAGUGUAUGAUAAAAUAUGUAUGUCUAUUUCAAUGGAAGUACUGGGAAAAAAAAAUUCCAUUCUAGUUCACUCCUUGUCUGAAUGUGCAAUGUUACUGCAUGUGGUACAUAACCUACCAAUAAAAAUACUGUAACUCA
Long non-coding RNA from Ictalurus punctatus (channel catfish), 2977 nucleotides. RefSeq lists it as uncharacterized. The record is from RefSeq and is a predicted model, not a curated record. NCBI's taxonomy places the organism in Eukaryota, Metazoa, Chordata, Actinopteri, Siluriformes, Ictaluridae. The transcript is spliced from 2 exons.